This 319-nucleotide unclassified non-coding RNA is filed under the name uncultured fungus. RNAcentral's name for it is "partial contains small subunit ribosomal RNA, internal transcribed spacer 1, and 5.8S ribosomal RNA". The stretch from base 1 to 73 matches the Rfam family "Eukaryotic small subunit ribosomal RNA", at positions 1759 to 1831 of the family's 1831-position model. Lineage: Eukaryota; Fungi. The record is from RNAcentral.
UCAAACUUGGUCAUUUAGAGGAAGUAAAAGUCGUAACAAGGUUUCCGUAGGUGAACCUGCGGAAGGAUCAUUACCGAGUUAGGGUUGCCCCCGCGCGCCCGACCUCCAACCCUUUGUCUACCUGACCUUUAUGUUGCUUCGGCAGGCCCGCUGCCCCUCACGGGGUGGCCGCCGGGGGCUUCGUGCCCCGGGCCCGCGCCUGUCGACGGCCCCAACCACAAACUCUUGUCAUUAAACGUGUCGUCUGAGUUAACAAACAAAAUAAAUCAAAACUUUCAACAACGGAUCUCUUGGUUCUGGCAUCGAUGAAGAACGCAGC